GACGAACGCUGGCGGCGUGCUUAACACAUGCAAGUCGAACGGAAAGGCCCUGCUUGCAGGGUACUCGAGUGGCGAACGGGUGAGUAACACGUGGGUGAUCUGCCCUGCACUUCGUGAUAAGCCUGGGAAACUGGGUCUAAUACCGGAUAGGAGCCAUUUUUAGUGUGAUGGUUGGAAAGUUUUUUCGGUGUAGGAUGAGCUCGCGGCCUAUCAGCUUGUUGGUGGGGUAAUGGCCUACCAAGGCGGCGACGGGUAGCCGGCCUGAGAGGGUGGACGGCCAAAAUGGGACUGAGAGACGGCCAAGAAGCCUACGGGAGGAAGAAGUGGGGAAUAAUGCAAAAUGGGGGCAAGCCUGAUGCAGCGAAGCCGCGUGGGGGAUGAAGGCCUUCGGGUUGUAAACUCCUUUCGCUAGGGACGAAGCUUUUUGUGACGGUACCUAGAUAAGAAGCACCGGCUAACUACGUG
RNAcentral lists this ribosomal RNA (465 nucleotides) under uncultured bacterium. RNAcentral's name for it is "partial 16S ribosomal RNA". It matches the Rfam family "Bacterial small subunit ribosomal RNA", at positions 28 to 507 of the family's 1533-position model. The record is from RNAcentral.